Molecule: ribosomal RNA, 520 nt
Filed under: uncultured Glomus
Lineage: Eukaryota; Fungi; Glomeromycota; Glomeromycetes; Glomerales; Glomeraceae
Description: SSU rRNA
Rfam family: Eukaryotic small subunit ribosomal RNA
Source: RNAcentral
AGCAGCCGCGGUAAUUCCGGCUCCAAUAGCGUAUAUUAAAGUUGUUGUAGUUAAAAAGCUCGUAGUUGAAUUUCGGGAUCAGUUUGUUGGUCGUGCUUCGGUACGUACUGUCAUUACUGGUUUCUCCCUUCUGAAGAACCUUGAUGUCAUUAAUUUGGUGUCUUGGGGAAUCAGGACUGUUACUUUGAAAAAAUUAGAGUGUUUAAAGCAGGCAUACGCUUGAAUACAUUAGUAUGGAAUAAUGAAAUAGGACGUUUGAUUCUAUUUUGUUGGUUUCUAGGAUCGACGUAAUGAUUAAUAGGGAUAGUUGGGGGCAUUAGUAUUCAAUUGUCAGAGGUGAAAUUCUUGGAUUUAUUGAAGACUAACUACUGCGAAAGCAUUUGCCAAGGAUGUUUUCAUUAAUCAAGAACGAAAGUUAGGGGAUCGAAGACGAUCAGAUACCGUCGUAGUCUUAACCAUAAACUAUGCCGACUAGGGAUCGGAUGAUGUUAUUUUUGAUGACUCAUUCGGCGCCUUACGG